UACCUGCAGCCCAAGUGGUGGCCGCUAUUAUUGGGCCUAAAACGUCCGUAGCCGGUUCUAUAAAUGCCUGGGUAAAUCGUACGGCUUGACCGUACGAAUUCCGGGUAGACUGUUCAACUUGGGACCGGGAGAGGCUAGAGGUACUCCUGGGGUAGAGGUGAAAUUCUGUAAUCCUAGGGGGACCACCAGUGGCGAAGGCGUCUAGCUAGAACGGGUCUGACGGUGAGGGACGAAGCCCUGGGGAGCAAACGGGAUUAGAUACCCCGGUAGUCCAGGGUGUAAACGCUGCUCGCUUGAUGUUAGUCGGGCUCCGAGCCCAAUUAGUGUCGGAGAGAAGUUGUUAAGCAAGCUGCCUGGGAAGUACGAUCGCAAGAUUGAAACUUAAAGGAAUUGGCGGGGGAGCACAGCAACGGGUGGAGCGUGCGGUUU
Molecule: ribosomal RNA, 429 nt
Filed under: uncultured archaeon
Lineage: Archaea
Description: bacterial SSU rRNA
Rfam family: Archaeal small subunit ribosomal RNA
Source: RNAcentral